Molecule: ribosomal RNA, 400 nt
Filed under: uncultured bacterium
Lineage: Bacteria
Description: bacterial SSU rRNA
Rfam family: Bacterial small subunit ribosomal RNA
Source: RNAcentral
UGGGGAAUAUUGCACAAUGGGCGCAAGCCUGAUGCAGCGACGCCGCGUGAAGGAUGAAGGUCUUCGGAUUGUAAACUUCUAUCAGCAAGGAAGAAGUAUGACGGUACUUGACUAAGAAGCCCCGGCUAACUACGUGCCAGCAGCCGCGGUAAUACGUAGGGGGCGAGCGUUAUCCGGAAUUACUGGGUGUAAAGGGUGCGUAGGCGGCAUGGUAAGUCAGAUGUGAAAACUUGGAGCUCAACUUCAAGAUUGCAUCUGAAACUGCUAAGCUAGAGUGCAGGAGAGGAAAGUGGAAUUCCGAGUGUAGCGGUGAAAUGCGUAGAGAUUCGGAGGAACACCAGUAGCGAAGGCGACUUUCUGGACUGUAACUGACGCUGAGGCACGAAAGCGUGGGGAGCGA